Molecule: ribosomal RNA, 465 nt
Filed under: uncultured Klebsiella sp.
Lineage: Bacteria; Pseudomonadati; Pseudomonadota; Gammaproteobacteria; Enterobacterales; Enterobacteriaceae
Description: bacterial SSU rRNA
Rfam family: Bacterial small subunit ribosomal RNA
Source: RNAcentral
CCUACGGGGGGCUGCAGUGGGGAAUACUGCACAAUGGGCGCAAGCCUGAUGCAGCCAUGCCGCGUGUGUGAAGAAGGCCUUCGGGUUGUAAAGCACUUUCAGCGGGGAGGAAGGCGUUAAGGUUAAUAACCUUGGCGAUUGACGUUACCCGCAGAAGAAGCACCGGCUAACUCCGUGCCAGCAGCCGCGGUAAUACGGAGGGUGCAAGCGUUAAUCGGAAUUACUGGGCGUAAAGCGCACGCAGGCGGUCUGUCAAGUCGGAUGUGAAAUCCCCGGGCUCAACCUGGGAACUGCAUUCGAAACUGGCAGGCUAGAGUCUUGUAGAGGGGAGUAGAAGUCCAGGUGUAGCGGUGAAAGGCGUAGAGAUCUGGAGGAAUACCGGUGGCGAAGGCGGCCCCCUGGACAAAGACUGACGCUCAGGUGCGAAAGCGUGGGGAGCAAACAGGAUUAGAUACCCCGGUAGUC